RNAcentral lists this ribosomal RNA (309 nucleotides) under uncultured eukaryote. RNAcentral's name for it is "partial 18S ribosomal RNA". It matches the Rfam family "Eukaryotic small subunit ribosomal RNA", at positions 1470 to 1796 of the family's 1831-position model. The record is from RNAcentral.
CCCCUAGACGUUCUGGGCUGCACGCGCGCUACAAUAAUACGCACAGCGAGUAUCACCGAGCUCGAAAGGGCAAGGUAAACAAUAGAAAAGGUACUGUAAUGGUUAUAGAUCCUUGUAAUUAUUGAUCUUCAACGAGGAAUUCCUAGUAAGUAUGUGUCAUCAUCACGCACUGAUUACGUCCCUGCCCUUUGUACACACCGCCCGUCGCUACUACCGAUUGAAUGGUUUAGUGAGGCCUUCGGAUCCGCGACUCGUUUUGUGGAGAAGUUGGACAAACUCAGUCAUUUAGAGGAAGUAAAAGUCGUAACA